AGAGUUUGAUCCUGGCUCAGCCUGAACGCUGGCGGCGUGGCUAAGACAUGCAAGUCGAACGGAUGUAGCAAUACAUCAGUGGCGGACGGGUGAGUAAUGAAUCGCUAAUGUACCCCGGAGCCAGGGAUAGCUGCCCGAAAGGGCAGGUAAUACCUGAUGAGACCACAGUCAGGCAUCUGACGGUGCUCAAAGCAGCAAUGCACUCUGGGAGCAGGCGAUUUCGUAUCAGCUAGUUGGUGAGGUAACGGCUCACCAAGGCGACGACGCGUAGCUGGUCUGAGAGGACGGCCAGCCACAUUGGGACUGAGACACUGCCCAGACUCCUACGGGGGGCUGCAGUAACGAAUCUUCCGCAAUGCACGAAAGUGUGACGGAGCGACGCCGCGUGUAGGAUGAAGUCCUUCGGGAUGUAAACUACUGUCAGGGGAAAGAAAGUUCUGAUCUACCCCAGAGGAAGAGACGGCUAACUCUGUGCCAGCAGCCGCGGUAAUACAGAGGUCUCGAGCGUUAGGCGGAAUCACUGGGCUUAAAGCGUGUGUAGGUGGAUCGUUAAGUACCUUGUGAAAUCCCACGGCUUAACCGUGGAACUGCUUGGUAUACUGGCGGUCUUGAGCCAGCUAGGGGCUACCGGAACAAAUGGUGGAGCGGUGAAAUGCGUAGAUAUCAUUUGGAACGCCAAUGGUGAAAACAGGUAGCUGGGGCUGUGCUGACACUGAGACACGAAAGCCAGGGGAGCAAACGGGAUUAGAUACCCCAGUAGUCC
Molecule: ribosomal RNA, 763 nt
Filed under: uncultured bacterium
Lineage: Bacteria
Description: bacterial SSU rRNA
Rfam family: Bacterial small subunit ribosomal RNA
Source: RNAcentral